Molecule: long non-coding RNA, 1256 nt
Organism: Harpia harpyja (harpy eagle)
Lineage: Eukaryota; Metazoa; Chordata; Aves; Accipitriformes; Accipitridae
Exons: 2
Source: RefSeq, a predicted model, not a curated record
AACAAGACAGUGCUGCAUUUGCUCAUUGUGAAGCUAAUCGACUCCUUGUCAACUGGAUCUGAACUAAAUUUCAAAGCAAAUCCCUGUCUUCAGGGUUUUUCUUGGAAUGAGGAUUCCAGGGCAUGUCUACUCUUCUGCAGUCAUGCACUUGUGUGCUGCUAUGAUUGCAUUUAUCAAGAACACGUCAUGUUAAUUCUGGUUAAUUUAAAGAAAUCACAGCAGCUCUGACACAAGUUGCCACCCACUUUAUAAUCCGUAUAGAUGCAAUUAGAAUUGAUUGAGCCACUGCAAACAACCAAUGGCAAAACAAAGGUUUCCCAGUAUAUACUUAAUUAAGAUGAUCUAUAAAUAUGGAUUAGGUUAAAAGGCCUUUGAGAUGCAUGCGUGCAUCGCAGUAUGUCUGCUAUUGCUGUCAAGCCUUUGAAAGAAGUGGCUGCAGUUAGAGGGCACAGGGACCAGGAGCUGGCGUUUAAGGCUCCCUGUCCCGUUGUGGAGCAGCAGAGAUCAGAAGCCAGCCCCAUGUCUGGGGCAUGUGAUCAAGCUAGGAACCAAACAUGAAAGGUCUCUCUUAAGGCAAAGGAGGAGGAUGCUCUUCUUCACUGCCCUCCUUGUUUGAAGGAAGAACGGUUUUACUUAUUCAUUUAUUUAUUUAUUUUCAAUCCAGUGUUUAGUAUCAGCUUGAGGUUUGGGGCUUUUUCUGCCCCAGAAGUGAAUCUGCCCACUGGCUCACAGUAACCUAUUUAGCUUUAAUGAAACAGGUACUAUACAUCAAACGCGUGACAACUCAUUAUCGUCACUCCAGCUGGGAGAUCGCUGUGGAAACUUUGCCAUGAAUAUAAACUCAAAUUUAAAAAAGAAAUUGCUUUGGCUUUUUCUCUGCCCCUCUCAGUGCCCCUGGGAGACAUGUGUGAUCACACUUGGCAUGACUGCUUCACACAGACUUUGUAAAGCGCAGAAGUGCGGGCAAACACUUGAAGGCACUCUCAAGCCAGAAGAUUUACUGAAGGCAGACCUGAUCAAUGACACAACUCAAACUAGAGAAAAUAGACACAGAUUUGGAUGGUUAAACCACAACACGGAGGGGCAAGAGGAGCAAGAAAGGAUAAAAAACAUUAGAUUCUAGACUUCCCACUGAAACAGCUUUGGAAACCUCAUUUACAGUGGAAACACCCCAAACCUCCCAGCAUACUCAAUAAUUCCAUGUAAGAUCUGAUCUCCGUUUUGAAAAGGUCAAUAAAUCUGUGUUUUUAAAACAA